UUAGCGCUUUCACAGGUCCUCCCCCAGGCCACGGGGCCAGGAUUUGGUAGCUGCUGCUGAAAGAAAACCCUUGAGUCUUGCCCUGGGACUCUGCCAGUGGCAGCUGUCACUCAGUGGCACAGAG
This is a small nucleolar RNA of Artibeus jamaicensis (Jamaican fruit-eating bat), 124 nucleotides long. RefSeq annotates it as small nucleolar RNA SNORA30/SNORA37 family. The record is from RefSeq and is a predicted model, not a curated record. NCBI's taxonomy places the organism in Eukaryota, Metazoa, Chordata, Mammalia, Chiroptera, Phyllostomidae. The transcript has a single exon.